Molecule: ribosomal RNA, 956 nt
Filed under: Psychrobacter sp. 27F07-MB1-10
Lineage: Bacteria; Pseudomonadati; Pseudomonadota; Gammaproteobacteria; Moraxellales; Moraxellaceae
Description: bacterial SSU rRNA
Rfam family: Bacterial small subunit ribosomal RNA
Source: RNAcentral
GGCUAACUCUGUGCCAGCAGCCGCGGUAAUACAGAGGGUGCAAGCGUUAAUCGGAAUUACUGGGCGUAAAGCGAGCGUAGGUGGCUUGAUAAGUCAGAUGUGAAAUCCCCGGGCUUAACCUGGGAACUGCAUCUGAUACUGUUAGGCUAGAGUAGGUGAGAGGAAGGUAGAAUUUCAGGUGUAGCGGUGAAAUGCGUAGAGAUCUGGAGGAAUACCGAUGGCGAAGGCAGCUUUCUGGCAUCAUAUUGACACUGAGGUUCGAAAGCGUGGGUAGCAAACAGGAUUAGAUACCCUGGUAGUCCACGCCGUAAACGAUGUCUACUAGUCGUUGGGUCCCUUGAGGACUUAGUGACGCAGCUAACGCAAUAAGUAGACCGCCUGGGGAGUACGGCCGCAAGGUUAAAACUCAAAUGAAUUGACGGGGGCCCGCACAAGCGGUGGAGCAUGUGGUUUAAUUCGAUGCAACGCGAAGAACCUUACCUGGUCUUGACAUACCCAGAAUCUUGUAGAGAUACGAGAGUGCCUUCGGGAAUUAGAAUACAGGUGCUGCAUGGCUGUCGUCAGCUCGUGUCGUGAGAUGUUGGGUUAAGUCCCGCAACGAGCGCAACCCUUGUCCUUAGUUACCAGCGGGUUAAGCCGGGAACUCUAAGGAUACUGCCAGUGACAAACUGGAGGAAGGCGGGGACGACGUCAAGUCAUCAUGGCCCUUACGACCAGGGCUACACACGUGCUACAAUGGUAGGUACAGAGGGCAGCUACACAGCGAUGUGAUGCGAAUCUUUCAAAGCCUAUCGUAGUCCAGAUUGGAGUCUGCAACUCGACUCCAUGAAGUAGGAAUCGCUAGUAAUCGCGGAUCAGAAUGCCGCGGUGAAUACGUUCCCGGGCCUUGUACACACCGCCCGUCACACCAUGGGAGUUGAUUGCACCAGAAGUGGUUAGCCUAACGUAAGAGGGCG